CCUACGGGUGGCAGCAGUGAGGAAUAUUGGUCAAUGGGCGGGAGCCUGAACCAGCCAAGCCGCGUGAGGGAAGAAGGUACAGCGUAUCGUAAACCUCUUCUGCCAGGGAACAAAGGCGGGGACUAGUCCCCGGAUGAGGGUACCUGAAGAAAAAGCAUCGGCUAACUCCGCGCCAGCAGCCGCGGUAAUACGGAGGAUGAGAGCGUUAUCCGGAUUUAUUGGGUGUAAAGGGUGCGCAGGCGGCCUGUUAAGUCAGAGGGAAAAGCCCGGGGCUAAACCCCGGGGAGCCGUUGGAACUGGGGGGCUGGAGUUGGAGAGAAGUACGCGGAAUGCGCGGUGUAGCGGUGAAAUGCGUAGAGAUCGCGAAGAACCCCGAUUGCGAAGGCAGCGUGCCGGCUCCACACUGACGCUGAGGCACGAAAGCGUGGGUAUCGAACAGGAUUAGAUACCCCAGUAGUC
This 459-nucleotide ribosomal RNA is filed under the name uncultured bacterium. RNAcentral's name for it is "partial 16S ribosomal RNA". It matches the Rfam family "Bacterial small subunit ribosomal RNA", at positions 338 to 795 of the family's 1533-position model. The record is from RNAcentral.